RNAcentral lists this ribosomal RNA (169 nucleotides) under Lophodermium conigenum. RNAcentral describes it as "5.8S ribosomal RNA". It matches the Rfam family "5.8S ribosomal RNA". From Rfam's summary of the family: 5.8S ribosomal RNA (5.8S rRNA) is a component of the large subunit of the eukaryotic ribosome. The record is from RNAcentral. Lineage: Eukaryota; Fungi; Ascomycota; Leotiomycetes; Rhytismatales; Rhytismataceae.
AAACUUUCAACAACGGAUCUCUUGGUUCUGGCAUCGAUGAAGAACGCAGCGAAAUGCGAUAAGUAAUGUGAAUUGCAGAAUUCAGUGAAUCAUCGAAUCUUUGAACGCACAUUGCGCCCUCCGGUAUUCCGGAGGGCAUGCCUGUUCGAGCGUCAUUACAACCCUCAAG